CAUGAAGCUCUGGUUCCAUGACUUCUGGAAAGCAAUGGCCAGUCUCAGAUUUAAGGAUUAACAGAAUUCUCCUAACAAUUCCAGAAUGGGAUGCUAAGAAACACGAUAGGCCAGGUGCGGUGGCUCACGCCUGUGAUCUCAUCACUUUGUGAAGCCAAAGUGGGCCUAUCACGAGGUCAGGGGUUCGAGACCAGCCUGACCAAUAUGGUGAAAGCCCGUCUCUACUAAAAUUACAG
This is a long non-coding RNA of Cebus imitator (Panamanian white-faced capuchin), 236 nucleotides long. RefSeq lists it as uncharacterized. NCBI's taxonomy places the organism in Eukaryota, Metazoa, Chordata, Mammalia, Primates, Cebidae. The transcript is spliced from 2 exons. The record is from RefSeq and is a predicted model, not a curated record.